UACGGAGGGUGCGAGCGUUGUCCGGAAUCACUGGGCGUAAAGAGCUCGUAGGCGGUUUGUCGCGUCUGCCGUGAAAGUCCGGGGCUCAACUCCGGAUCUGCGGUGGGUACGGGCAGACUAGAGUGAUGUAGGGGAGACUGGAAUUCCUGGUGUAGCGGUGAAAUGCGCAGAUAUCAGGAGGAACACCGAUGGCGAAGGCAGGUCUCUGGGCAGUAACUGACGCUGAGGAGCGAAAGCAUGGGGAGCGAACAGG
RNAcentral lists this ribosomal RNA (253 nucleotides) under uncultured bacterium. RNAcentral describes it as "partial 16S ribosomal RNA". It matches the Rfam family "Bacterial small subunit ribosomal RNA", at positions 524 to 776 of the family's 1533-position model. The record is from RNAcentral.